UAAAAUCAGUUUACAAUACAGGGUCAGUCACAGGAAAAUUACUUUGAAAAUUAAUUAGUUUUCAACCAAAAAUACCUUUAGCUAACUGGGUAUAAUAUUUUAUUUAAAUUAAUUUAGUAAUCAAUGUGAGCUGGAUGAAAAUGAGUGAAGUCGUCAAAAUGACAAGUAAUUGUCUACUGCUUCAAGGACUCUAAUUUAAUUUUCUGGGCCAGAAGCAGUCCUCUGACGGGGUCUUUCAUUGGGGACCAAUCUUGUUGUAACUUGGCUUCCAGAUUUCUAAAUGUUUCAGGAACCGGAUGCAUUCGAUUUUGAUACCUCUCCAAGUCUCCAAGUACAGAGCUGCUGUCGGAGGAGCAUUUUUCUUGCAUUCUCCAUGGAUUAAAAGCAUGCCCACUUUCUCGUUAUUUGUGUAAUAACAGGGUUGAUCAGCAGGCAUAGGCAAAUAUGUUAAUGAAAAACAUACAACCAAGAGACGGCGCCACUUGCUUUUAUUUACAGAUUUCUGUAAAUUACCACAAACAGUAGUAAACAGAAACUACUAGUACCAUCUCUUGGUUGUAUGUUUUGUUUUUACUUAAAAAAAUACAGAAUAUAAAGCAAUCUUUGGAUAUUUGACGCAAAAUAUCAAAAAACACUUUUCAAUCAACUUUCACUAGUAUUGUUCAAAUAAUUUCCCAGUUAAUAUUUCCCUUUCGUGUUCGAAUUAUUUGUUACAUACUUUGUUCGUGGUACGCUCUUUUCAUUGUGUGUUUAAAUUUUGUUUGGUUUCGUUUUUUAUUAGUAUCUACUUUUAAGGUAGAAUUAUUCAAGUUUCAAGUUUAGAAAUAGGUAACACUCUCCUAAAAGAUAUCCAGCAGCAAUGCUCCUCAAGAGAAUCUUGAAACUACUGGAUAAGACUCCAGAAAUUUGGGGACAUCUGAACUGCCGUCAAAAUUUGAACAGGUAAAAACAGAAUUAGAAAGGAAAAUUUUCGCUUUUGAAUUGUGGUCUGUUUCUAGAACUAGAGGGGAUAUUAAGCUCUUUUACAGCUAAUGUCAUCACACUUGGACGAUAUUACAAGGGCUUUGCAAUAUAGGAAUUAGAAAAGAAUCAUUUUUUAGGUAACAAAUAAAUUUUGACUAAACGUCUCUCUAAUAAUGUGUCCUCCGCUGUGAUUUUGACCGCAGUUCAAACAGAGAUUCUGUUAGUCCGGAUAGGCUAAAACACUUUGUACCGUAAUUCGGUGGUAUGUACCGAGAAAUUUUUGCUCAACAUUUGGAGGAAUUGAUAAUGAGACAAUGAUCAAUAAUCUUAUUCCAAAAUAAAGUAUAAGAAGUUCAAACAAAAAAUUUACACGAUAAAGUCUUCGCAACAGUUUUUUGGGCUAAAGAAGGACUUUUGCUAUUAAGGUUUAUACUACCUGAGACGAUCAUCUCAAAAGGAAACUAUGCAAAAUAGUUUAAAGUUUUGUGUGAUUCUAUCAACUUGAAAAGGCAUGAAAUCCACACGUCAGAUGUACUGCUCUUUCACAAAAACCGACUGGAGCAUAUAUUAGCAAAUGUACAGGUCGCCAUCUAAAUCUUUAAAUUUUGUUGGAAAUUAUCUUAAACGGCAGGAUUUUUUAAGAAUGCAGGAGCCACCAGUCAAAAAUGUAAAAAUCAAAUCCAUUUACUUAGUAARUUUAGAGAAUGCUAUCAUAACGUGUGGUACAAUUUUGUUAAAUGCAUAAAUAAACAAUUUAAGUCCAUUAUAUGUGCUUCUUUAUGUCUUGAUCAUAACCAAAAUAUUAUUACUAAACACAUAUACCUGAUUUUGUUGAAAAUUUUGGUUAUUUGUGUUUAAAUUGUAAUAGGAAAAUUAAAAUUGAAUGAUAAAGUAUUUAAAUUUGCCGCCAAUUUUAGUUCAACAUACAAACAAGAGACGGCGCCAGGCUUGAAAUUUUGACGACCGGAAAAUUGUGUGUUACUUGAUUUUCUAUAUUGAGUAUAUUCUAUGGUGUAAUAAUACAUUGUAUUAACGAAAAUUGACUGUUACUUUUUAAAUGUCAAAAUGAAAAAAUAUGCAAAGUAUUCUUGGAUUUAAUUUUAUAAAUUUAAAAAAUGAGGAAGCAAGACGUCUAUGUGAAUUGUAUAAUGGGCUGCUGUCCAAAUUAUUUCAGAAGUAACUCUUUUGUGACUGACUCUGUAUGUGUUACAGACUAUAAAGAGGAUAAAAAUUAAAAAUUAAAUUAGUUUUAUCGUUUAAGACGCCCGUGAUUAAAACGUGCGACAACUGAUUUUUGAAUUCAUUCUGGUGUUUAAAGGUUAUCAGCCGUACUAACUUUUGUAAUUUUAUCUAUUCUGCAGUAGUGUCUCAUUAAAAAACGCAUCUCCUUCAGGUGGUGCAGCUCGCUUACAUAACAUUUUUUGAAACAUGUUCAUAAGAAACUUUUGUCUUAAAAUUGAAUAUUCUAUCAUGUGUUUAAAUUUGUAACCAUAAAAACAAAUCACUCUGUAUAGAAAAGGCACAUUCGAAAGGCUACUUGCGUCUAUAGUCCGGUCAAAAUAAACAUUUUAAAUAACUAAAA
Tribolium madens (black flour beetle) is the source of this 2545-nucleotide long non-coding RNA. RefSeq lists it as uncharacterized. Lineage: Eukaryota; Metazoa; Arthropoda; Insecta; Coleoptera; Tenebrionidae. The record is from RefSeq and is a predicted model, not a curated record. The transcript has 3 exons.